This 5517-nucleotide long non-coding RNA is filed under the name Canis lupus familiaris (dog). RNAcentral's name for it is "lncRNA (ENSCAFG00000051596.1)". Lineage: Eukaryota; Metazoa; Chordata; Mammalia; Carnivora; Canidae. The record is from RNAcentral.
UUUAAUAAAUAUAGCAUUUUUGCCAGGAUACAUAUACAUUAAGAGGUCUGGAAAAUUAUGCAGCUAAAAUACUAACAACGAUCAUUUGGGAAGUGGUAGGACUCCAGGUAAAUUAAAACAUUAAGUUCUCCCAACUUCUCUUAUUAUAACAAUAUAACAAAAAAAUAGGAUAAAAUCUUUAAAAAUCACACUACUGUCCUUUCACUGAGAGAUACUGCUUCCCACUUGAGCUCCAGCCUAGAAAUCAGCCCCCAACCGCACUCAAGUGCUCUAAGACUUUGGACUAGUCACUUACCCUCUCUGGGCUUCUUGUUACAUAUAUGUAACAACAAGAAGCUGUUUUCAUUUCAAAAGCUCCUCCCAGCUCUAACAUUCUUUGACUUAGCUAAUUUCAUUCCUAGCAAAGUUCUUAAAAACAAAAACAAAACCAGCAUGAGGGGAUUUAAAUGUUGAUCAACAGUUUCUUCACAUCUUAUCCGGUUUCUUUGGCAUAUGAAGUUGUUCCCAUUCUUUGCUUCCCAUCAGUCUUUUGAAAAGGGAAUGUUAAUGCAUUUCACCAAAAAUGUGUCAAAGCACUCUAGAAAAAUAAGGGUCUUUCCCCCAGAAAGACUAUUUUUAACCUAUAUAUUGACAAAAAAAAAAAAAAAAACCCACAACAUGCCCAAACAACACACCCCACAAUCCAAGCCAACAGAGAAAUGAAAGCCAUUCACACCCAGACACACUCUCCACUGCCCUCAGUCCCUAUUCCACAGCGUUGGCCUCUCCCUUCAGAUCACACUCUCCCCCUCCAUCUAAUGAGAAUAACUAGCCUUUCUUCACGGAUAGCCAUGGGGCCACUGAAACUAUUCUCACAGAGAAGUGCAGGCACUCACUGCCCAGCAGAGAGGAUGACAAGCUGACUAGUCCAGGUGGCGGGAUGAUGUGAAACCCAAGGUGGUGACAUGGGGUAAAAUGGAGCUUGGGGAGGGUGCUGCGGGUGGAGGGGCGUGUGGUGUCCAAGUGGAGGGCAGACUGGAGCAUGUGAAGGGCAGUCUGUGAGAUGGGGAUGGGAACGUGCAGCUUGUGGGGUGUUGUGUCACCAAGACCCGCUUCCACCUCUGCGAGCCCCCCCGCCCCCAUCUCCUGCACCCACCGCCAGCUGCUCUGCUUAGGGAAAUGCAAGAAAGCCCUUGCAUCGCCUUUGAAACCUGCUUCCUUCCGGAAACCCGAAAAAUCUGCCCUUUUAGAGGAAAAGUGCCCUAUUUCCUGUUUUCCUUCCCAGCCAGGGAAGGGAUAGUCUCAGCAGUCUGUUUUAUGAAAACAGAAGAUAUUCUUCAACAAAUGUAACAUACUGAAUAUGCAUCUUGCACAUUCUCGCCCCCUUCCCCCAUACCUGGGAUCAUCUCCCUGAGAGUCACUGGUCUGGAAUCUUCUCACCUGCCUGCUCCAGGCUCCCUACUCCACCCCCACCUACUUUCUUAGCAAAUACUUUCCCAGGUGGUAUAUCCACCUAGGAACUAUCAUUCUGAGGUCUCCUCCAUUCAUGUCCACCUGCUAGCUAUGUGGCAGCAGGUAAAUCACGAAAGUACUCCGAGCUAAUAACAUCAACCUCACAGAGUCCAUUCAUUUAUUCAUGCAGUCAAUAGGUCAACUGAGCACCGACUCCAGGUGGGUCCUGGGCUACGUGGUGGGAAUACAUCAGUGAACAAGGUGAACGCCUUCCUUACACUCAUGAAAUGUGCCACCCAGUUGGGGGCCCAGACAAUAAACUAAUACACAGAUGGUGGUAAGUAAGUGUGUCCACAUAAGAAACAUGGUACAGGAGAGAAUACAAUGGAUUCAGAUCGAGGCUGUGAGCUCAAGAAAGGCUACUCCAAGAGAGGGAUGUGAAAGAUGAGCCUGAAAGAUAAGUAUGAAUAAGCCAGAUGAAACGUUCUGGGCAAAGAUCCUGAGUUGGGAGGAUUUCGUAUUUUUGAAAAGAGGCCAUGUGGCUGGCUACCAGGAGUGGAGGAGAGAGACCCCACAGAAGUUUGGAGAAUUAACCAGGGGACCCUCGAUGGAUGUGAACACAUGUACACGGACAUGCAUCCACCAUUAUGGUAUCAUACAGAGUAGUUGCACUGCCCUGAAAAUCCUGUGCUCCACAUACUCAUCCUCCCCAUGACACCUAACCCUUGGCAACCACUGAUCUUUUUAUGUCUCCGCAGUUUUGCCUUUUCCAGAAUGUCCUACGGUUGGAAUCCUACAGUAUGGAGCCUUUUCAAAUUGGCUUCUUUUACUUAGUAAAAAUGCAUUUAAAGUUCUUCCGUGUCUUUUCAUAGUUUGAUAGCUUAUUUCUUUUUAAUGCUAAAUAAUAUUUCACUGUCUGGAAGCACCGCAGCUUAUUCAUCCAUUCACCUACUAAAGGACAUCUUGGUUCCUUCAAAGUUUUGGCAAUUCUGAGUAAAGCUUCAUCAUGGAGUUUGUUUUGAGAAAAGUUUACUUAAUGCCUUUUAGGACCCUAAUGAGCAGAAACAACAAACUAGAUCAUACCUGAAGGGCAAUCAAGAAACCAGAAAACAAAUUAUUUGAUACUCUCGAGUGUAUUUAAGAGACAUUUGAAGAAGUGAUCUUCUUAAGAUAUUAUUAAGAGAUACUAUUAAGAAAAGCUUACUGCUUUUCUUCUAAUACCAGAAUAUAUGGCCUACAAGAGAAAAGAAUUUUUUGUUCGAUUCCCGGUCCCUAGUCCCUUGAAAUGUCAGGUAAAUGGUGGACACUCCACUGGGAUUUUUUAAAUAUAUGGAGGGAUUUAUGUUCUCUACAGCAUUAUUUUUUCUUUUGUAAAGUAACAUUGUCAUUGAGAUACAAUGCACAUACCCUGAUGUUCACCCUGUUAAAAUGUACGACUCCGUGGUUUCUGGUAUAUUUGCAAAUUUGCACAUCAAUCUUCACUAUUUCUAGAACAUUUUCUUCACCCCCAGAAGGAAAUUCAGACCCAGCGGAAAGAUAAAGUGGGUUGCAUAGGGUAAAUACACCCUGGAACAGCAAACCGAGGAGCUCAGGUCAGUGAGCUUACUGUUCCAGCUUGGUAAACGAGGGUAAAGAACAAAAUGUCUCUAGCUUGAUCACAAGCCUGAAGUACAGAAACCCUAAGAGAUGCUAUCAAUGUCUAGAAUAAGGAAACAAUGCCCCCAGCUGACUCCCAAAGUCAAACUGUGGGAAGUCUUCGAAGAUGAAAAGCACAAUCGUAUUUUCCAGUGUCUGUAUUAUCAUAAUUGUCCAUGUCCCUAGAAAUAUAUUCUCAGUUAACCAUAUUGCUCGUGCUGGCAUUAAAUGUGGGGCCUAGUGGCCUAUGGAGGGAGAGAGGCUCUUUCAAAAAAAGGAAUCUUCUAGCAUCAACUCUAGAAUGCUCAUAUUAACAGGAUGCAAAUGGACCAAAAAUCAUUUUGACUUAGUUUUGCCAUGUGUUCACUGUCUGGUCAGAGGUACAUGCCCAUGAAUUCCUUUUAUUUCUCCUCCUGUGCCUGCCUCUGACCCCUUCCUGUCUUAUGUCUCAUCCUGGCAGCUUGGUUGCUCUGCAUAACUGCCAGGUGUGAAGGAAGAAUGGCUUGCAAUCCUUACUCACUCGAAAUUGGGGGAGUCAGACUUCCUCACCGCUGGGAGAAGCUUCCUGCUGUUUCUAUUCCUCAGGCCAGCCCGUCAAAGCCUUCGGCCCUAAGGGCAGUUUCCUUAGCCCUACCUAGGAAGGCCCAGUCAGGUGGAAACGAGGAAAGCUCAGGGAUUUCUGGCUCCACACUCUCCAUUUGUGAUCCAGCGGGCACAGCUCACUGCUCCCACUUGGAGGGUAUCUAGAGCAGAGCGAGGAUGGAUGGUGCAAAUUAUCUGGUACUCUUGGGCUUUCCUGCUCUGGACCAUGUCUCCACUUGGGGCUGGACAACGGACCCUACCAGGUGCACCCAAGGUUCCUGAAUCAGACUGGAAUGGGGCAAACAAGAGAAUUUUGUCCCUAGAAAGCCCACUGGUCACUCUGAGUAUAGGACAAAGGUCAGUCCUGACAAUGGCCUGCAAGACCCAAUGUAAGCUGAGCUCCUUCCCCUUCAGUGACCCCAUUAUGCCUCCGACUCCACCUAUCUUCUCACUCUAGCCAUACUCAUUUCCUUGCUGUUCCUCAACUGUCAGGCCCAUCCCACAUCAGGGCUUUGGCAUUUGCUGUUCCCUCUGUUUGUAACACUCUCCUGAGAUAUUCUCACGGCUCGCCUUUUUACUGCCCUUUAGAACUUUGCUAAAAUGCCACCUGCUUCUUGAGGUGGUUCGUGACUCCCUUAAGUCUAAUUAUACCACUCUUCCUUCCCUGGUUUAUUUGUUCCUUUGCACCACUUAGGAUCCUAGGUUUUAACUAUGUAUUUUCUUUUUUUUCCCCUAAUACCAGAAUAUAUGGUCCAUGAGGGGAAGGACUUUUUUUUUAAGUUUAUUUAUUUUUAACUAACCUCUACGCCCAAUGUGGGGCUCGGACUCACGAAUCUGAGAUCAAGAGUCACACGCUCUUCAGACUGAGGCAGCCAGGCAUAUGAGGGGAAGGACUUUUGUUCAAUUCCUGGUCCCUAGUCCCUAGACAUGUCAGGUAAGCAGCAGAUACUCCAUAGAUAGUUUUUGAAUACAUAAGUGCAUCUAUCCUCUUUAUAGCAUUCUUUUUUCCUUUGUAAAAUAACAUUUUUAUUGAUAGAAUUCACAUAACAUGAUGUUUGCCUUGUUAAAAUGUACAAUUCAGUGGUUUUUAGUAUAUUUGCAAAUUUGUGCCUCAAUCCUGACUGUAUCUAAUUCUAGAACAUUUUCCUCACCCCCCAAAAAAACUUUAUACCCAUUAGUAGUCACUCACCAUUUCCCCAUUCCCCAGCCACUGGCAACCACUAAUCUACUUUCUGUUGAUGAACUGCAAUAUUCUGGACCUUCCUAACAAAUGAAAUCAUUAAAUCUAUGGUCUUCUCUUGUGGCUUCUUCUACUUAGCAUCAUGUUUCCAAGGUUCGUCCAUGUAUCAGAACUUCAAUUCUUAUUUAUAUUGAGAUAGUUCACAUAUUUUAAAGUGCAUAAUUCAGUGGGUUUUAGUAUAUUCACAAAAUUUUUGUGUAAACAUAUGGUUUCGAUGUUCUUGGGAAAUACACCCAAGCGUUGAAUUGCUGGGUCAUAUGGUAACUCUGUGCUUAACUGUUUGAGUUACCGGAAAAACAGUUUCCAAAACGUCUGUCCUACUUUACACUCCCAACCUAGGAGUGUUUACUCAACAAAAGAGCUGAAUCUCAACAAAAACAGCCGAUUUUAUGGUAUUUUAAAUUACCCUAGUUUCAUCUACCACUCCACAGUUCUGUGGUAGCCUUGAAAAACAACAGCCCACAUUUUCAGUACUAGGAGGGUGCAGAGUGGUCCUCUUUUAAGGCCUCAUCCCCCCAAAUCUUCAUUAUUUAACCUAAUGGAUUACUGGAAAACCCUCCUCCAAAGACUCAUCUUUAUUUGAACUGACGAGAAGCUCGCCUAGUGCUUAAAAAAAAAAAAGAAAAAAA